This 254-nucleotide ribosomal RNA is filed under the name uncultured bacterium. RNAcentral describes it as "partial 16S ribosomal RNA". It matches the Rfam family "Bacterial small subunit ribosomal RNA", at positions 524 to 776 of the family's 1533-position model. The record is from RNAcentral.
UACGUAGGGUGCGAGCGUUAAUCGGAAUUACUGGGCGUAAAGCGUGCGCAGGCGGCUUGCCAAGUCAGAUGUGAAAGCCCCGGGCUCAACCCGGGAACUGCGUUUGAAACUGGCAGGCUAGAGUUUGGCAGAGGGGGGUGGAAUUCCACGUGUAGCAGUGAAAUGCGUAGAGAUGUGGAGGAACACCGAUGGCGAAGGCAGCCCCCCUGGGUUAACACUGACGCUCAGGCACGAAAGCGUGGGGAGCAAACAGG